RNAcentral lists this ribosomal RNA (300 nucleotides) under uncultured Fulvivirga sp. RNAcentral's name for it is "bacterial SSU rRNA". It matches the Rfam family "Bacterial small subunit ribosomal RNA", at positions 496 to 795 of the family's 1533-position model. The record is from RNAcentral. Lineage: Bacteria; Pseudomonadati; Bacteroidota; Cytophagia; Cytophagales; Fulvivirgaceae.
GCUAACUCCGUGCCAGCAGCCGCGGUAAUACGGAGGAUCCAAGCGUUGUCCGGAUUUAUUGGGUUUAAAGGGUGCGUAGGCGGAUCUUUAAGUCAGUGGUGAAAGCCUGCAGCUUAACUGUAGAACAGCCAUUGAAACUGAAGAUCUUGAAUUUGGUUAAAGUAGGCGGAAUGUAUCAUGUAGCGGUGAAAUGCUUAGAUAUGAUACAGAACACCGAUAGCGAAGGCAGCUUGCUGAACCAAUAUUGACGCUGAGGCACGAAAGCGUGGGGAGCGAACAGGAUUAGAUACCCUAGUAGUC